RNAcentral lists this transfer RNA (84 nucleotides) under Planctomycetota bacterium. RNAcentral's name for it is "Planctomycetes bacterium (anaerobic digester metagenome) tRNA-Leu". It matches the Rfam family "tRNA". From Rfam's summary of the family: Transfer RNA (tRNA) molecules are approximately 80 nucleotides in length. Lineage: Bacteria; Pseudomonadati; Planctomycetota. The record is from RNAcentral.
GCCCGGGUGGCGGAAUUGGCAGACGCGCCAGCUUGAGGGGCUGGUGGGCUUCGGCCCAUGCAGGUUCAAGUCCUGUCCCGGGCA